GUAGCCACUGUCAGGGUUCUCCUCCAUGAAUUUGCCUAAUCCUCUCUUAAGGCUUCCCUUUUAAGGCCCAUCACAGCCUCCUGUGACAGCUAGGUUUUAGGUAUGCAGGAGUGUGUGUUAAUUUUAUUUUGUACAGAGGAGCAAUGAAAUAGUUCAUCGCCCACAGUCUGAUGGGACAGAGCCCACGGACAGGUUUACUACCUCGUCUGUUAUUGGGGUGAACAAGGCCACACACAGCUACAUGAAAAUGUAUAUAUAUAUCCCUGUAGCACGGGGAUUAAUUAUGUCUGGGGAAGGUGUUAGUGGAAACCAGAAGAUCCUUUUUUGUAAGGAGGAUUGAUAGCUGCAAGAGAAUUGGUGUUUGAAAGCAGUUUCUGGGGUUGCAUUAGUCGAGAGGAAAUUGUCUUAGAGCUGGACAAAAUGAUAAUAAAAAGUGUCAUGGGCCCCUCCUCCUCCAUCUAUUGCUGGAAGACGUCUAGAAUUGCAGCAGACUUUCUCUGCAUCUCCUGGUAGAAGUCCCCCUCUUAAAUUUCACAGAAUUUUUACUUUCUGCUUUUACUACCAUGCUCAUACAAUCGCAGUUAGAAGGGAACUUGGGGGUCAUCUAGUCUAACCCCGCCCCCAAAGCAAGAAUCUCAAGUAGCUCAUACAUGACAGAUGGCCACCCAGCCUCUAAUUCUGUGGAUUAAACUAAUUACAGUGCCCCUGUUUUUAAACCUUCAUAGUCCUUGGUUUUAAAAGCCUUUCACUUGAGCUCAGUUAAACACAAGCCCAUCUGGAUAACACCAUCUCUCUCUCUCUUCUCUUUCUCUCUCUCUCGUUUUAAAUCUCUUGUUUUUGAUAUCCAGCCCUGAUAACGAGAGCAUUGUUUGAAAUCUUGUUUCUGUACCCUCAAACGUUUCUCCAAUGAAAACAGGGACGUCCUAAGGAAAAGCGGGGCAUUCCAGGAUCAAAUCAGAAACUGGGACGGCUUCUGUAAAUCUGGGACUGUCCCUGGGAAACAGGAAAACUUGAAGGGUCUGUGAUGGCUAUGUUCUGCUUCCAUGAUUGGAGGCAAUAAUAAUUCUGAGUACAUCUGGAAGCUGGAGGAGGGGAGAGUGUUCUUGUCCAAGUCCGCUUACCCCCUUUUAGGGGUGCGGUGGCUUUCUGGGACGGCCAGAGCCUCUCCCCCCCCCCCAAUGAUGGUGCGGGGCUGGUUGUGGGGAGCUGAUCCCAUCCAGAAUGUGAGCUUCAGCUCACGCUCCUGGCUUGUAUUCCUGCUCCGCGUCAGCCUGCUGAAUCGCCCAAUGGCAUGCUGGCAUGGAGGGACGGGCUCCCCGGGGGUGGGCAUGAGGGAACAAGCAGGCUUCCCCCAGGUUCCCUUGCUGCGAGAAGCCAAGUUACAGGGAACCAGGCAGAGGGCCUUCUUGGUAGUGGCGCCCGCCCUGUGGAAUGCCCUCCCACCAGAUGUCAAAGAGAAAAACAACUACUAGACUUUUAGAAGACAUCUGAAGGCAGCCCUGUUUAGGGAAGCUUUUAAUGUUUAAUAGACUAUUGUAUUUUAAUAUUCCGUUGGAAGCCGCCCAGAGGGGCUGGGGAAACCCAGCCAGAUGGGUGGGGUUUAAAUAAUAAAUUAUUAUUGUUAUUGUUAUUAUUAUUAACUGUUGGAAGGUUGCAGUGCCUGCCGAGGCCGUAGACACCGAUGUGGGAGAGAUAUGUUUUGUUGCAGCUGGGGCAGAAGAUGUACAAUUAAAAUAAAAUAGGUUCAUAGCCAGAGACUCUGGAUUGUACUGUAGUGCAUCCCUCUCAAGCUCAUUUUUUCAAAAUGAGAGAUCGUUGGCCUGCUGUUGACCUGUUUCCUGUGACACGGCCUGGCCUUCACUCUGUUUCCCCAACCAGUUGUUUUGUUUACAUGGGGUUAUGUGGUGUCUGCCAGGGCAGAGUCUUUUUCCGCCCUGUCCUUAAAUACAGGUAAGGACCGAUCUCUUUUUGUGCCUGAAAUUGGGAUUGCCUUGGUUUCGUUGUGGACAAGGAAGUGGAGAGGAAGCCAGCAUGAAUCAUAAGUAAUUUGCAGCCUUCAGCGGAGAUGGCCAUUUUGUUAAGAGAUUUGGCUUCAUUAAUCCCUUUCUAAUCUUCUAAAGUAAACAGAGGCACACCAUCUUCAGAGGGAGAGGAAAGCUGUAUAAAUAAAGCAAACAAUGAAGUGAUCUCCAAGCAUUUAUCAAGUCACUCUCUGUACUAUUCUUCGGUGGUGUUUGGGUGUGUGUACUCCAGGAACAAAACUACAUUUAUUUCAGGCAGGAACAAUCUACUCACUUUUAGAAACAGUCAUUUUAAUCUUUUGCAGGGAGGGACCUCCAUGUGUCCAGACAUUUGUGGUGCAGGAGUUUGGAAGCAUUUGACUGAUAUUUCCAUUUCCCCAGCAGCAAAUGUCUGAAUAACUGAACUCCACAGCCUCCCUGGGUGUUCUGCUUUUCCUGCAGUCUGGCAGAUGAGACCUCCAAAAUUCCUAAUCUGCCUGCAUCCGAUGGCAUCUUGAUGGCAUCUUGAAGCCUUAAAAGAAAAUAAUAGCUUGUUUUCUAAAACCUUCCACGUCUGGUUUCUUGGCAAUGGCUCUUACUGAACAAGAGGAGAACCUGUUCGCAAACCUGUUUUGAGCCGUGCAAUUGCCUUAUAGUAAGCCUGAGUGAACACAGCGGGGCUUCGUUCCAAAUAAAUAUGCACGGCGUUGCGCAAUUGGUGUGUUGCAGAGCGAGCCCUAAAUGGCUUGAGCAGGUUGGAUGCCAAUGCAUGGCAAAGUAGGGCAGCUGCUGAAGACCCACAUCCCAGCAGGGAAUCCGAUGAUGAGAGACCCCUGGACCUGCUCUUCCUCUUUACCAUUGUC
This is a non-coding RNA of Podarcis lilfordi (Lilford's wall lizard), 2863 nucleotides long. NCBI's taxonomy places the organism in Eukaryota, Metazoa, Chordata, Lepidosauria, Squamata, Lacertidae. The record is from the annotation of a GenBank genome assembly.